CGCAGAAGAAGAGAAAGGCUCCUCUGGAAGAAGGCACCGUCUCAGUAGUGGGUCGUGAGUGGUGUUGAGUGCUUCUCUUCGAAAAAUCAUGGCGCUUAUCCUCUGGUUCUUGCUGCUUACUGCUUCUUCGUCGCUCGCCCAGAGCCUUCCCGCAGCAGACAAAGGCGGAGGAGGGAAAGCCAGGGCCCUGGGAGAGUCCGGGAACUUGACCCAAGUCGAGAAAGCGCUGGACGACGUGUCCAUGGAAGAAGAUGGAAUGCCUGCCUCUUGCACCGAGGGCCAGGUCGUCGAGCACGGCUGCGAUGAGAAAUGUGUGUGCGUGGAAGGAAAGCUAAACUGCACGCAACGCUGUGCCCCGCCAUUAGUGCGCUCUAUACUGGGCACGACGGACCCAAAGUGUGUACUCAAACCAACCUCGGACAAAUGCUGUUCUUCCCUAGUCUGUUCAAACAGUGAUAAUGAAGCCACAUCAACUGCCACUGCCAAAGUAUGUACUUUUAAAAAUGAAACGUACAAGUAUGGCGACGUUUUCCAUGAUGGAUGCAGUAGUACUUGUAAUUGUAUGGAAAAUGGAGAAGUAACUUGCAAACCAAGAUGCCCUUCUAACAAUCGAACAGCGAUAUCUGAUCGAUGCUUAUCAGUUGCUGACACAAAAGACCCAUGUUGUAAAAUUCUUUAUUGCGAUGUUAAUAUAGAUGAUAUGAGUGUUGACGAAAUUCUAGAAUACUUUAAACUUGUCUCUGCAGUACCGUCAAAUGCUACAUCUGUCUUAUUAAAUUUAGAUAAAAUGACAUAUGUUGAUAAUGUUGAAGCUGAAGUCAGUGAAGAUGAAAAAACAUGGACACCUGCCAAAACGAUCGGCCACCAAGUCGUUGAUCUGACACCAGGAAAAACUUAUUAUUUUAGGGUCAUAAUAAAUGGUUUAGUGUCUAACGUUGUCUCGACAACAACACCUUCUAUGAACACCGACUCUUCAAAAUGCCUUUACAAAGGGAACACAUAUAAAAUUGGUGAGGAGUUCCAUGAUGGAUGUACAGCUUUGUGUGCCUGCUUUAAAACAGGGAUUGAAUGCGCAACUAUUGAAUGUCCGACAGAUUUUGGACUAGACGUCUUAGAUCCUCAGUGCUUAUCAUGGGAAACAAAGCCGCAUGAUUUUGUACCAAAUCCUCCUCACUGUUGUCCAGAAACUGUAAUAUGUACGAAUAACGGUUCCUGCACCUACAAAGACGAAUUGUUUGACAACUGGGCGGACAUUCCAGACAAAUUGACAGGGUGCGAGGAAAAAUGCUAUUGUGAAAAUGGUAAAGUUAAUUGCAGGCCUAGGUGUUUACCUGUACCGAACUCGCCACCGUCCGAUCUUCCAUGCUCUCCGAAUGAUGCUAUUUUAACUCAUACACCUGGAGAAGAUAACUGCUGUCUGCAAUGGACAUGCGGCGCUAAACAGAAUGGUACUGGACCUAAUGUGACGAAUAAUUCAGUAAAAGAGACCAAAAUGAAACAAUCUCUCAGCCAUGAUGGCUCCUCUGUUCCAUUCCUUGGUCCAUACAGUCCCGAUAUACUAGGCAAGGCUGAAAAAAAACAUAUACACACAUCUAAAGAAAAACACAAUUUCCCGGGGCCAUAUAUAUUUCAUGACAAUACAACAUUUAACCACACUGUAAAAAGCACAGUAAAACCAACCCCAUUGACUGAAACACAAAAAACUAAUGUCAACGAGCAAAGGUUAAAUGAUUCAGCCACAGAUCAUGAAUUAUUGAAGCAAAAACACAAAAAUAUUAGUGAAAAAUUUGAAACAAAUGUUCUGAUUAAUACUGCAUCUCCUGGCUCUGAACAAAUAAAUUCACAGACUGAAAUCUCUCUAGGUGUAUUAAACCCGAAUACAACAAUAGAAAAAGUUCCCACAGACAACACUAGUCCUGCAGUACAUUCGAACUUAGACACUCAAAAUGGUAUGUCAGUUUCAAACAAUGAUUUUUCAAGUAGACCACCCAUCAUGAUUAAUAAAGGUGACAACAUUUUACCUCCUGUUGCAGUAAGUUUGCCUAAUGGACCUGUGAAUCCAGACAAACAAGGAACUGAUAAGGUCAAAAUUGACAGUCAAAAUAUUUUACCGUACGAUAAGACACAACCAGGCCAUGAACUACAUGCUGGUAGUGAGAAUCAGAAUGAAAAUGCGAACAAAGUACCAUCACAUGGUAACCCGGAAUAUUCCUCUUCCAUGCCCAAUAGUUUCGAUAGUGCACUUUCAGGUCUUUGGCCGAGUCAUGAGGUGCCGAAUAAAAUCCCAAUAGGAAUUAUUAAUCCUGACAAAUUGAAUAAUCAAAAUGAGAAAAAGCCUCAAAAUAUACCAGAAAAUGUUCCAAAUGUAAAUCCAAACUUAUUGGACCACUUGUUAGAAUACCACCAUUACCAAGAAAAGCCGGUACAGAAUCAAGGGAACUAUCACAACGCAAACCAUCCCCAAUACGAGAUUCCACAAGACAGGCCAAAUCCCCACGAUAAUUCCAAUCAGAUUAAUCCUUAUUUACAUCAGCAAAUAGUGACUGGAAAAGAGGUCGCCAAAGGUGUCCACCAACAUGUACCAUAUCCGCACUUCCCCGAACACGUAAAUCAAGUACCACUCCAACGGCCACCUCACUUAUACCACAUAUUACCCAAUGGACCACAACGGUUUCCGCAGCCGCCUCAAUUCGUUUCCCCCGAAGAAUUAUAUUUAGUACAAAAUCAACAAAGACUUCCACAGAAACAAAACGUACAUCCUUAUUUUAACAGCCCAACAUCCCAUACAAGAAAAGAGCCCGUUCAUUACCAGAAUCCCAAUUCACCUCCACUAGGACUUGAAGACAUUAUAGAUCAAAUAAGACAACAUGAAGGAACUGACUCACAUACUAAAGACACACACGUUAUUGUGCUAGCUUCCCAGCCACCAAACGCUGGACAAGCUGCACCUCCUCGAAGGCCGAUGCCAGGAUUCCCCAUUCAUCCAUCACAGCACGAUCCAAAUGGCAUUGUUGUUCAUACACUUGAAGCAGUAGAUGAAAAUAAUGUGAGGUUAAUAUUUUCUGUACCACUUGUCCUUGUUGGUCUUCACGGACGGGUAGAACUGAGAUACACUUCUGAUAAGGAGAACAGCGAUCCCUCGACCUGGGAGCAAAAAGUAUUUGCACCAGCGAAUGAUCUUAUUGCGACCUCAGAAUUACAGUUUGAACUAGAUGAUCUUCAACCGGACACAGAAUACAAGAUCAAAAUUACUGUCGUGAUGAGAGAUAUUGAAAACUCGCCUGCGAGCAAAAUACUCGUAGUGAAAACACCACCUGCAGCUUCUGCAGCGACUGUUCCACCGAUGAUUCCAGUCGAACCAGAUCUUAGGGUCACAAAGGUGAAUUCAUCGUGGGCUGUUUUAGAAUGGAGGAAAUUUACUGAAGAUGAACUGCAUUUUAUUGAUGGUGUACAAUUAAGAUACAAAGAAAUAAAUGGAAAGGUUUACCAAGCAACACCGUUGAUCCAUAGAGCAGUAACAAGUUAUACAUUAGAAGGUUUGAAACCUGACUCUCAGUAUGAAAUUGGAAUUUUCUUUAUACCAUUCCCAGGGCAAACUACAGAACUUCAAGCUCAAAAAACUGUCCAUGUCUCAACGACAAUUGAAAAUGAUCCAUAUAAAUUUGAACUAAUGUUGGACGUUCACCACAUAAAGAGUACCACUGUCGAGAUAAGUUGGACUGGUGUGCCAUAUCCUGAAGACAAAUACGUCAACAUAUUCAGAGCAAUUUAUCAGUACGAAGGAGGUAGAGAAUAUAUGAAUACUUUUAAAGUUGCUAAAAGAGAUUCGCCGGCGUCAACUUUGAUCCAGGGGCUAAAACCAGAUACAAGGUAUCGUUUGUGGUUGGAAGCUUAUUUGACAAAUGGAAGAAUUAAAAAGAGCAAUGUGAAAGAUUUCACGACAAAGCAAGGUGUAGUUUCAAGUGGAGAUGUCCGUCAAGGAAAAUUAGAAGGCUCUCCACUCUCUGAGGCCAAUGAUUAUUAUGGUCCUCUAAUCGGUGUAUCUAUACUUGCAGCAAUUGCUAUAUUGACAGCUUUGGGCCUGCUUGUUGUUAUCGCACGCAAGCAUGGCCAUAACAAAGCUCCAAUUACAGCGGCAGUUCAGAGAAAGUCUGUUCCUCAUACUGCAGCAUAUGAUAAUCCAUCCUAUAAGGUAGAAAUGCAGCAUGAAACAAUGGGUAUGCACUCUUAGUGUUCCCCUUGUAUAAUUAAUAUUAUUUUCCGAAUGAGUUCUCUUUAAACAGACUUGUGAAAGCGACAUUUCUAACGGAGGAAAAUCAAUAACAAUUGAAGAAUCAUGAAAAUGAUCUUCAGAAACUAGUCUGCUGUUAACUAUUAGAAUAAGACCGAAGUCAAAAAGUACGUUAAUGUGACAUUUAGUUAUUUAUUUAAUGCACAAUUAACAGGAUUUCAGCAAUAAUCAAUUUGUAAAAUAAAAAUUGAUAUAAAACAAAAAGGAAAGAAGAUUUAUAAGCCCUUCAAAUCAAGAAUUUUCCUUAAGUGAUCUGACUUUACCCUAUAAAACCAAACAUAUA
RNAcentral lists this unclassified non-coding RNA (4574 nucleotides) under Cimex lectularius (bed bug). RNAcentral describes it as "putative epidermal cell surface receptor, transcript variant X5". The record is from RNAcentral. Lineage: Eukaryota; Metazoa; Arthropoda; Insecta; Hemiptera; Cimicidae.